AGCAAAUGAGGUGUGACAAUAGGUACCUGACCAUGAGAUUCACUGGUCCUAUCAUGUAUCCUACCACCCUGCUUCUGCCAGCCUGACAGAGGGAUGGAAUGGCUUUUUGAAGGUGCAUCUAAGGUGUCAACUUGGAAAUUAUAUUAUGGGAGGAUACGGUGCAUAUCUUCAUCCUCCAGGAUGAAAAGCACACCCUAAAUCAUUAACCAUUAUAUAAUGCUGUGUUCCCCAGUAGGGAGAAUAUGUGCAUCUUGAAACUAAGUGUUGCAAGGAGAAGGGACUCUGCUUCUUAUCACUCCCAGUGAGCCAUUUGGGCAAUCUGUCCUUCCUAUCCCCACAACCUUAGGUUCCGUAGAUCUAAUGGUUGUGAUUUCCAGAGGGAGGAUGCUUCCACAGGAGCCCCAUUAAACUUUAUCUAUGACUGCCACGUGGUUACUUUAGGUUUUAUUGUCAGGGAUCCAGUAGGCCAAAAAAGGAUCCACAUCCUGGCAGGAGUAAUUGUCUCUGAUUUUCAGGAGAAGGUAGGGCUGCUGUUACAUAAUAGGAACAGGGAAAAAUACAUUUGGCACCCAAGUGAUCUGCUGGGGAAGGGGGGAAGAAAGGGGGCUCUUGGUGUUCCCCAGACCAAUUUUGAUGGUAAAUGGACAUGUUCAGAAGGCACAUCAUCCGAAGGGCGUAGCAACUAUGGGCUCAGACCUCCUCAGUGAUAGGGGCCUGGGUCGUCCUACCAGGUAAGUGAUGGAGGCCAGCUGAUGUGGUAGUCAAAGGUGAGCGGAAUCUAGAGAUGGGGUUAAUAGAUGAGGGAGACUAUAAAUAUGAGGUACAGUCUAAAGAAUAGCUGCAGGGGCAACAGGAGAGUGGAUGGGGAGAGGGAGAAGGGGGCAGAUGGCUGACACUGUAGCUCGUCCCACUAAACUCUUCUUAAAGCUUCCCUAGGAAAGGAGAUCAAUUACAAUCCUGGAGGAGUUGUUCCCUCGUGAAGGAAAUAUACUAUAUGAAGCAAGUGAAACUGUACAGGGGUGGAUUGUAGUGAAUGUAUUUGGACACCUCCUAGAUUCCCCUUCCUGGUCAAGGCUUUGUGUGCUCAAAUGCCAGUAGUGCUAGCUACUGAUGACUCACAGUUGCAUACAACUCUGGGAAUUGCCCUCAGCUGAAGGCAGCUGCCUUGUCCAAAUCUGUGCUCCUAUUCUUGGCUGCAGCCAUAUCCAAUGAUGGAUUGUUGUGAGGCUAAAUCAAAAUACGUCUGGAAAUUUCAUUGGCUCUACCUUCAAAAUGUAUUCAGAAUUCAGAAAGUUCUUCAGGCAAAAGGAAUAUGAAACCAACAGUAAACUUGGAUCUACAUCAAGAAAUGAAGAGCGCUGGAAAUGGGAUAAAGUAAGGAAGACUUCAUGAAUAGAAUUUGGAUUCUUGAUCAAUUUCAACUUUUGGACUAUUCUCUUCCUAAAAGACAGAUCUUAGAAGCCAAGAAAUUAAGCUGAAAAACAACAAACCACCAAAGGAUCUUACCCAGGAUAUAUUUGAUAAACUCUCUUUUCCUUGCUAUUAAAUGUAUCCUGUUGCCUUGAAAGAAAUGAAUACACCUAUCUUAUACAGUGAGCAAUUUUCUCUCCAAGGAUUAUUUUACUCAUUCAGGUUCACCAUGGGUCAGGCUAAGAGCAGUCCUAGUAUAAUUCAUAUUUCUUCCCACAGACAUUCUUAACUGCUUCAGGAUGUGUGACUAAUUAGAAGAAAUAUACAGAGCAGGCACUGUAUGUGACACACAGCAACCACCUGCACAGGUUGCCAUUGUGUUUAAGUCACAUAGAUUACCCUAUGAGUCAUUAACUU
Molecule: long non-coding RNA, 1827 nt
Filed under: Equus caballus (horse)
Lineage: Eukaryota; Metazoa; Chordata; Mammalia; Perissodactyla; Equidae
Description: lncRNA (ENSECAG00000050681.1)
Source: RNAcentral